This 253-nucleotide ribosomal RNA is filed under the name uncultured bacterium. RNAcentral describes it as "partial 16S ribosomal RNA". It matches the Rfam family "Bacterial small subunit ribosomal RNA", at positions 524 to 776 of the family's 1533-position model. The record is from RNAcentral.
UACGUAGGGGGCAAGCGUUGUCCGGAAUCAUUGGGCGUAAAGAGCGUGUAGGCGGCCUGGUAAGUCCGCUGUGAAAGUCCAGGGCUCAACCCUGGAAUGCCGGUGGAAACUGUCAGGCUCGAGUCCGGAAGAGGCGAGUGGAAUUCCCGGUGUAGCGGUGAAAUGCGCAGAUAUCGGGAGGAACACCAAUGGCGAAGGCAGCUCGCUGGGACGUUACUGACGCUGAGACGCGAAAGCGCGGGGAGCGAACAGG